This 507-nucleotide ribosomal RNA is filed under the name uncultured Desulfobulbus sp. RNAcentral describes it as "bacterial SSU rRNA". It matches the Rfam family "Bacterial small subunit ribosomal RNA", at positions 903 to 1382 of the family's 1533-position model. Lineage: Bacteria; Pseudomonadati; Thermodesulfobacteriota; Desulfobulbia; Desulfobulbales; Desulfobulbaceae. The record is from RNAcentral.
UGCCACGCCCGCUCAGAAACUCAAAGGAAUUGACGGGGGCCCGCACAAGCGGUGGAGUAUGUGGUUUAAUUCGAUGCAACGCGAAGAACCUUACCUGGUCUUGACAUCCCGGAGACCCUUAGGAAACUAGGGGGUGCUUCCAUCUGGAAGAAUCUGGAGACAGGUGCUGCAUGGCUGUCGUCAGCUCGUGUCGUGAGAUGUUGGGUUAAGUCCCGCAACGAGCGCAACCCUUGCCUUUAGUUGCCAGCAGUUCGGCUGGGCACUCUAAAGGGACUGCCGGUGUUAAACCGGAGGAAGGUGGGGAUGACGUCAAGUCCUCAUGGCCUUUAUGACCAGGGCUACACACGUACUACAAUGGCCGAUACAAAGGGCAGCGACACUGCGAGGUGAAGCCAAUCCCGUAAAAUCGGUCUCAGUCCGGAUUGGAGUCUGCAACUCGACUCCAUGAAGUUGGAAUCGCUAGUAAUCGUGGAUCAGCAUGCCACGGUGAAUACGUUCCCGGGCCUU